CAGGCCUAACACAUGCAAGUCGAACGAAGGCUUCGGCCUUAGUGGCGCACGGGUGCGUAACGCGUGGGAAUCUGCCCUGGGGUACGGAAUAACUCAGAGAAAUUUGAGCUAAUACCGUAUGAUGACGUAAGUCCAAAGAUUUAUCGCCCUGGGAUGAGCCCGCGUAGGAUUAGCUAGUUGGUGGGGUAAAGGCCUACCAAGGCGACGAUCCUUAGCUGGUCUGAGAGGAUGAUCAGCCACACUGGGACUGAGACACGGUCCAGACUCCUACGGGAGGCAGCAGUGGGGAAUAUUGGACAAUGGGCGAAAGCCUGAUCCAGCCAUGCCGCGUGUGUGAAGAAGGUCUUCGGAUUGUAAAGCACUUUAAGUUGGGAGGAAGGGCAGUAAGCUAAU
RNAcentral lists this ribosomal RNA (393 nucleotides) under uncultured bacterium. RNAcentral's name for it is "bacterial SSU rRNA". It matches the Rfam family "Bacterial small subunit ribosomal RNA", at positions 43 to 464 of the family's 1533-position model. The record is from RNAcentral.